This 1633-nucleotide long non-coding RNA is filed under the name Sus scrofa (pig). Its description in RNAcentral is "lncRNA (ENSSSCG00035033799.1, ENSSSCG00055007141.1)". Lineage: Eukaryota; Metazoa; Chordata; Mammalia; Artiodactyla; Suidae. The record is from RNAcentral.
AUGGCCCCAGAAACAGCCAGCCGGAUACAGCAACUAACUCAGAUUCGUUUGUUUGUUUCUUGGUUGGUUUUUUGGGGGGUUUUUUUUGGCAGCAUGUGGGAGUUCCUGGGCCAGGGACCGACCCCGCGCCACCGUAGCAACCCAAGCCGCUGUAGUGACCGUGCCAGAUCUUUAACCCACUGCACCACAGGAGAGCUCCCUAACUCGGAUAGUUCUAAUGCUUUCCGGUUGGAUCUCUUGAGGCCCAGCCGCCCUUUGGUAAGACAUGCACUUUUAAGAGGUAGCCCUGCCUCCUUCCCACACACGUGCCUCUUUUUCCCCCCCUUUCUUUUCAGGGCCGCACCCACAGCCUAUGAAACUUCCUGGGCUAGGGGUCUAAUCAGAGCUACAGGUGCCAGCCUACACCACAGCCACAGCCGCAGCAACGCCGGAUCCAAGCCACAUCUGCCCCCACAGCACAGCUUGUGGCAACGCCGGGUCCUUAACCCACUGAGCGACGCUAGGGAUCAAACCUGCGUCCUCAUGGAUGAUAGCUGGGUUCUUAACCCACUGGGCCACAGCAGGAACUCCCACAUUUGGCUCUUAAAGUACCCCUGGGUGGGUUGCUCUUUCUUCCAAGCCAAGGAGCCUUGACUGAACAGGGUCGCAAAGGUUCAUCCCUGGGAAGCUGCGUGAAUAACGUGCAGAGAAGGAGGUAGGAGUCCUUCUCUGACAAAGUCCGCCGGACACUGCGUGUCGGCUGUUGGUGUGGAACCCGCUGGGCAGCUCCAGCCUGGCCGAGAUAACCCGCGCGACAGAAAGAGCGAGAGGCAGAGGGGCUGGAGCCCGGCUGUGAAUGUGCCCCCCUGCAGAUGUGUUUGAUCUCUCAGGGUUUACGGAAGGCCCACCACGCACCAGGCUGCAAACAGACAGAUGAGGCCCCUGCUCUCGGGGAACUCGUGUUCGGGUGGGGUAAGAUCGAGGUGAGGUUUUCAGAGAGAGGCAGUUCCUGGUGGCUCGGGAGGUUACUGCACUGUCACUGCAGCAGCCAGGUCACUGCUGUGGCGCAGCUUUGAUCCCUGACCUGGGAGCUUCUGCAUGCCUUGGGCGUGGCCAAAAAAGAAAAAAAAGAGGGAGAGGGCUAGAAUUUCAGAUAAAGAAUAGAAACCUGGGGAGUUCCUGGUGGUGCAGUGGGUUAAUGAUCCAGCUUUGUCUCUGUAGAGGCACCAGUUCGAUCCCCGGCCCACCACAGUGGGUUAAGGAUCCAGUGUUUUUGCUACGGCUGUUGCAGCAGCUGUGGCACAGGUCACUGUUCCAGCUCAGAUUUUCUUUUCUUUUUUUGCCUUUUCUAGGGCCGCUCCCGUGGCAUCUGGAGGUUCCCAGGCUAGGGGUCGAAUCGGAGCUGUAGCCACUGGCCUACGCCAGAGCCAUAGCAACGCGGGAUCCAAGCCGCAUCUGAAACCUACACCACAGCUCACAGCAACUCCAGAUCCUUAACCCACGGAGCCAGGCCAGAUGGAACCCUCAUCCUUGUGGACACGAGUCGGAUUCAUUUCGCUGCGCCACAACAGGAACUCCCAGACCCACGUCUUGCUGGAACACGGUCAAGGUCACAUUGUAGGAUGAGCUGUCCAAAGGCGGAUCCAUCCCCACC